This 719-nucleotide ribosomal RNA is filed under the name uncultured beta proteobacterium. Its description in RNAcentral is "bacterial SSU rRNA". It matches the Rfam family "Bacterial small subunit ribosomal RNA", at positions 8 to 722 of the family's 1533-position model. Lineage: Bacteria; Pseudomonadati; Pseudomonadota; Betaproteobacteria. The record is from RNAcentral.
AGAGUUUGAUCCUGGCUCAGAUUGAACGCUGGCGGAAUGCUUUACACAUGCAAGUCGAGCGGCAGCGCGGGGGCAACCCUGGCGGCGAGCGGCGAACGGGUGAGUAAUACAUCGGAACGUACCCUGUUGUGGGGGAUAACUAACCGAAAGGUUAGCUAAUACCGCAUACGACCUGAGGGUGAAAGCGGGGGAUCGCAAGACCUCGCGCGAUAGGAGCGGCCGAUGUCGGAUUAGCUAGUUGGUGAGGUAAAGGCUCACCAAGGCGACGAUCCGUAGCGGGUCUGAGAGGACGGCCCGCCACACUGGAACUGAGACACGGUCCAGACUCCUACGGGAGGCAGCAGUGGGGAAUUUUGGACAAUGAGGGCAACCCUGAUCCAGCCAUUCCGCGUGAGUGAAGAAGGCCUUCGGGUUGUAAAGCUCUUUCGGCAGGAACGAAACGGUCUUGGUUAAUACCCGAGGCUAAUGACGGUACCUGAAGAAGAAGCACCGGCUAACUACGUGCCAGCAGCCGCGGUAAUACGUAGGGUGCGAGCGUUAAUCGGAAUUACUGGGCGUAAAGCGUGCGCAGGCGGUUUUGUAAGACAGAUGUGAAAUCCCCGGGCUUAACCUGGGAACUGCGUUUGUGACUGCAAGACUUGAGUGCGGCAGAGGGGGGUGGAAUUCCACGUGUAGCAGUGAAAUGCGUAGAGAUGUGGAGGAACACCGACGGCGAAGGC